AUACGUAGGGGGCUAGCGUUAUCCGGAAUUAUUGGGCGUAAAGAGUGAGCAGGCGGUUAAUUUAGUCUGAGGGUAAAGCGUGGGGCUCAACCCCAUAAAGCCUUGGAAACUGAUUGACUAGAGUACGGGAGAAGUGAAGGGAACUCCAUGUGUAGCGGUGAAAUGCGUAGAUAUAUGGAAGAACACCAGUGGCGAAGGCGCUUCACUAGCCCGAAACUGACGCUCAGUCACGAAAGCGUGGGUAGCAAAUAGGAUUAGAUACCCUAGUAGUCCACGCUGUAAACGAUGACAACUAAAUAUUGCCGCGAGGCAGUGUUGAAGCUAACGCAUUAAGUUGUCCGCCUGGGGAGUACGGUCGCAAGACUGAAACUUAAAGGAAUUGACGGGG
This 388-nucleotide ribosomal RNA is filed under the name uncultured bacterium. Its description in RNAcentral is "partial 16S ribosomal RNA". It matches the Rfam family "Bacterial small subunit ribosomal RNA", at positions 523 to 918 of the family's 1533-position model. The record is from RNAcentral.